CUGACCGCUGACUCUUGGAUCUGCACAGCCCUUCCAAAGAAAGGGGCUCUGUGGGGUGAUUUGUCUGUGUUCAUCAGUGUGUGGUGAUGCUUGUUUCUGACCAGAAACCCAUUCUGUUUGGAUAGGAGGGCAUCUACUGAGUAAACCGGACCUCAGGCAGGCUGCUAUGUAAAAGUUUAAGGCCUGAAAAGCACACAGGAUAUCUACCUUGACGUUUCUUAUUCUGGCCAGGCACAAAACUGAUUGAGUCCUUGGAACCAGAUCAAAGGACCUCCACAGGAAUGCUGUGCUGAGAAGGCGGCUGACCUGGAGCACGCAGUGGCCCUGGGAACACUCUGUUUUCAGCUGGACGGACCUUGAAGCAUAUCUGCUCCAACAUUCUCAUCUUAGUGUCUCUCAUAUUCAUGCCUUCCUCCCGUUUGCUCUGAAGGUCCCCUUCUUCCCUGCGCCCAGGGAAAUAGUGGGAAUAUCCACCCUCUUUCCAGGGAAAAACUUACCUCUUCCAUAAGGCC
Molecule: non-coding RNA, 512 nt
Organism: Manis javanica (Malayan pangolin)
Lineage: Eukaryota; Metazoa; Chordata; Mammalia; Pholidota; Manidae
Source: RefSeq, a predicted model, not a curated record